This is a small nucleolar RNA of Lampris incognitus (smalleye Pacific opah), 77 nucleotides long. RefSeq annotates it as small nucleolar RNA SNORD83. The transcript has a single exon. The record is from RefSeq and is a predicted model, not a curated record. Lineage: Eukaryota; Metazoa; Chordata; Actinopteri; Lampriformes; Lampridae.
GCCAUAGGAUGAUCUAAAUGGACUGCAGUAGCACUCUGCCAUGUUGACCUGGUAUCUAUCACCCUUGUCUGAUGGCU